RNAcentral lists this ribosomal RNA (485 nucleotides) under uncultured bacterium. Its description in RNAcentral is "bacterial SSU rRNA". It matches the Rfam family "Bacterial small subunit ribosomal RNA", at positions 28 to 513 of the family's 1533-position model. The record is from RNAcentral.
GAUGAACGCUAGCGGCAGGCCUAAUACAUGCAAGUCGAACGAGAUUGAGGAGCUUGCUCCUCAUGAAAGUGGCGCACGGGUGCGUAACGCGUAUGCAAUCUACCUUAAUCAGGGGGAUAGCCCGGAGAAAUCCGGAUUAAUACCGCAUAACGUUAUUUUAUGGCAUCAUAGAAUAACCAAACAUUUAUGGGAUUAAGAUGAGCAUGCGUGACAUUAGUUAGUUGGUGAGGUAACGGCUCACCAAGACUACGAUGUCUAGGGGAUCUGAGAGGAUGACCCCCCACACUGGUACUGAGACACGGACCAGACUCCUACGGGAGGCAGCAGUAAGGAAUAUUGGUCAAUGGCGCAAGCCUGAACCAGCCAUGCCGCGUGCAGGAAGACGGCCCUAUGGGUUGUAAACUGCUUUUAUUCGGGAAUAAACCUCUUUACUGUAAGAGCUGAAUGUACCGAAGGAAUAAGGAUCGGCUAACUCCGUGCCAGCG